RNAcentral lists this ribosomal RNA (293 nucleotides) under uncultured bacterium. RNAcentral describes it as "partial 16S ribosomal RNA". It matches the Rfam family "Archaeal small subunit ribosomal RNA", at positions 455 to 747 of the family's 1478-position model. The record is from RNAcentral.
GUGCCAGCCGCCGCGGUAAUACCGGCAGCUUGAGUGAUGACCGAUCUUAUUGGGCCUAAAGCGUCCGUAGCUGGCUACGCAAGUCCGUCGGGAAAUCCACUCGCCCAACGAGUGGGCGUCCGACGGAAACUGCACAGCUUGGGACCGGAAGGCUCGAAGGGUACGUCCGGGGUAGGAGUGAAAUCCUGUAAUCCUGGACGGACCGCCGGUGGCGAAAGCGCCUCGGGAAGACGGACCCGACAGUGAGGGACGAAAGCUGGGAUCUCGAACCGGAUUAGAAACCCGAGUAGUCC